Molecule: ribosomal RNA, 253 nt
Filed under: uncultured bacterium
Lineage: Bacteria
Description: partial 16S ribosomal RNA
Rfam family: Bacterial small subunit ribosomal RNA
Source: RNAcentral
UACGUAGGGUGCAAGCGUUGCCCGGAUUUAUUGGGCGUAAAGGGCGCGUAGGCGGCUCGGCACGUCCGUUGUGAAAUCGCCCGGCUCAACUGGGCGGGGUCAGCGGAUACGGUCGAGCUUGAGCAAGCUAGGGGGCAAUGGAAUUCCCGGUGUAGUGGUGGAAUGCGUAGAUAUCGGGAGGAACACCAGUGGCGAAGGCGGUUGCCUGGGGCCUUGCUGACGCUGAUGCGCGAAAGCGUGGGGAGCGAUCCGG